CAACCUUCAAGCACGGCUUGUGUGUUGAGCGGUCUGUUCUUGAUGAACAGGGCUCGAAAUGCAGCGGCGAUGGCGAGAUUGGUGCCCGAGCGUAUGGGGCUCUGUCACACGCUCUGGUGGCUCCAGCUUGCAGUCUGCCAACACUAUAUAUUUAUUAUAUACACCAACCAUU
Molecule: unclassified non-coding RNA, 172 nt
Filed under: uncultured Eurotiomycetes
Lineage: Eukaryota; Fungi; Ascomycota; Eurotiomycetes
Description: sequence contains ITS2
Source: RNAcentral